CAGUCGCCGCGGGAAUACGGAGGAUCCGAGCGUUAUCCGGAAUUAUUGGGUUUAAAGGGUGCGUAGGCGGAUAGAUAAGUCAGUGGUGAAAGACGGUGGCUCAACCAUCGCAGUGCCGUUGAUACUGUUUAUCUUGAAUAUGGAUGAGGUAGGCGGAAUGUGGCAAGUAGCGGUGAAAUGCAUAGAUAUGCCACAGAACACCGAUUGCGAAGGCAGCUUACCAAGGCAAAAUUGACGCUGAGGCACGAAAGCGUGGGGAUCGAACAGGAUUAGAUACCCCUGUAGUCCCUGUCUCUUAUAA
This 301-nucleotide ribosomal RNA is filed under the name uncultured bacterium. RNAcentral describes it as "partial 16S ribosomal RNA". It matches the Rfam family "Bacterial small subunit ribosomal RNA", at positions 509 to 809 of the family's 1533-position model. The record is from RNAcentral.